GAAUUCGAUUCAGGCCUAACACAUGCAAGUCGAACGGUAACAGGUUAAGCUGACGAGAAAAGAACGGGUGAGUAAUGUAUCGGAACGUGCCCAGUCGUGGGGGAUAACUGCUCGAAAGAGCAGCUAAUACCGCAUACGACCUGAGGGUGAAAGCGGGGGAUCGCAAGACCUCGCGCGAUUGGAGCGGCCGAUAUCAGAUUAGGUAGUUGGUGGGGUAAAGGCCUACCAAGCCUACGAUCUGUAGCUGGUCUGAGAGGACGACCAGCCACACUGGGACUGAGGCACGGCCCAGACUCCUACGGGAGGCAGCAGUGGGGAAUUUUGGACAAUGGACGCAAGUCUGAUCCA
Molecule: ribosomal RNA, 348 nt
Filed under: uncultured bacterium
Lineage: Bacteria
Description: bacterial SSU rRNA
Rfam family: Bacterial small subunit ribosomal RNA
Source: RNAcentral